CCAGCCCGCUCAGAAACUACAAAGGAAGUUGACGGGGCCCGCACAAGCGGUGGAGUAUGUGGUUAAUUCGAUGCAACGCGAAGAACCUUACCUGGUCUUGACAUCCCGGAGACCCUUAGGAAACUAGGGGGUGCUUCCAUCUGGAAGAAUCUGGAGACAGGUGCUGCAUGGCUGUCGUCAGCUCGUGUCGUGAGAUGUUGGGUUAAGUCCCGCAACGAGCGCAACCCUUGCCUUUAGUUGCCAGCAGUUCGGCUGGGCACUCUAAAGGGACUGCCGGUGUUAAACCGGAGGAAGGUGGGGAUGACGUCAAGUCCUCAUGGCCUUUAUGACCAGGGCUACACACGUACUACAAUGGCCGAUACAAAGGGCAGCGACACUGCGAGGUGAAGCCAAUCCCGUAAAAUCGGUCUCAGUCCGGAUUGGAGUCUGCAACUCGACUCCAUGAAGUUGGAAUCGCUAGUAAUCGUGGAUCAGCAUGCCACGGUGAAUACGUUCCCGGGCCUU
This 504-nucleotide ribosomal RNA is filed under the name uncultured Desulfobulbus sp. RNAcentral's name for it is "bacterial SSU rRNA". It matches the Rfam family "Bacterial small subunit ribosomal RNA", at positions 903 to 1382 of the family's 1533-position model. Lineage: Bacteria; Pseudomonadati; Thermodesulfobacteriota; Desulfobulbia; Desulfobulbales; Desulfobulbaceae. The record is from RNAcentral.